GUUUUGAUUCUAAAGGGUUUGAUCAAAGGAGAAGUUGGUUCAGUUUCUAUUCUUCUAAUCUCUGAAAAAAGAUUCUUGGACAAGUUUGUAAUCAAGUACAAGAACAAGCACCUGAAUUGUCAGAUGUUUUUCACAGGAAAAUUGAUCUUUCUGAACUAGGUUUUGGAUUUGAUGAAGAAUUUGGAGAUUCAGCAAUAAAGCAUACAACAGGUCAUUGCAAAUCGGAUGCAACAUUAAUACAUUAAGGCUAUGUUUGGUUGGCUGUAAUGGACCAUAUAAUGGAAUGAGAAGUACAUGAUGGGUAAGAUUACAAUGUUUGAUGGGCUUUUUCUUAUAUUCCAAUGUAAUUAAUGUAAUGUCCGUUACAUCCAAACACUUAUGUACAAUUCAUUUCAUUCUUAGAUCCUGUUGUCCUCUUCAAAGCUGACCCAUUAUCAUUUCCCUGUUUUGUGCACUCUCUCUAUUCCACCUCGCCUUUGCUCACCCAUUGUGCUGUUGCUCACCACUGCAACUGCUGUCACCAACGCCUUCUCUGACAGCAGCCACUGAUCUGUGCCCUGUGCCCUGUGCCCUGUGCCCUGUGCCCUGUGCCUCUUCAUCUUCAGUUAUGGCAUAAGGAAUAGCGGAGUUGAAUUCACAAUUGUUGUUUGCUAAUUGCUAGCAGAGUUGUUUGCUGUCGAUACUGUUUACUUUUGUUUCUUCCUCUGCUUAGAAUAUUCUCACUUUGAAGGAAAAUUGACGAUCUGUGUUGGAUAAUACCAAAUUACCAAUGGAGUGAGUGAAGUUUCAUGUGAGUUUUAUGAAAGUCAUUAGUGUACAACUUUACAACCCCCCACCCCUCUCCCCCAGCAUUAUUGUAUUGGACAUAGAUCUAAACUUCUGAUACACUGGAUUUUGAUGUCAUCUUGUUUGAAUGUUGAAAUUUAAAGCUUGGGUGUGCUAUUUUCAAUCUUGCAAGCAAAUACUUUCUGAAAUGUAAAGAAUUUGUUGAUAAA
This is a non-coding RNA of Jatropha curcas, 995 nucleotides long. The record is from RefSeq and is a predicted model, not a curated record. NCBI's taxonomy places the organism in Eukaryota, Viridiplantae, Streptophyta, Magnoliopsida, Malpighiales, Euphorbiaceae.